GUACUCAUUUCAGCAGCACAUAUGCAACUAGAGCAACAAGGAGAAGAUCAGCAUGGCCCCUGAGCAAAGAUGACAUGCAUGCAUAUUUGUAGAGUGUUCCAUACAUUU
Molecule: small nuclear RNA, 108 nt
Organism: Sorex araneus (European shrew)
Lineage: Eukaryota; Metazoa; Chordata; Mammalia; Eulipotyphla; Soricidae
Source: RefSeq, a predicted model, not a curated record